This 1079-nucleotide long non-coding RNA is filed under the name Anas zonorhyncha (Eastern spot-billed duck). Its description in RNAcentral is "lncRNA (ENSAZOG00000006289.1)". Lineage: Eukaryota; Metazoa; Chordata; Aves; Anseriformes; Anatidae. The record is from RNAcentral.
AGCUGUUGUAUUUCCACACAGCGCGUAUUAGGAGUAUCCCUAGAGAAAUAUAUAUGCGUGCACAUACGUGCCUAUGUAAUUCUAUGUAUGUAGAUAAGAAUGUCAAAAUGCACAGCUGUCAGUAUCAGCCUUCUCCCCUCCUUAAGGGAGACACUGUACUCUGUAACCAUGAAUUCUUAACAGUGCAGUAAUCCCCUCCUCCCUCUCCCCUUUCUUGUCCGUGAUCAUCUAAAUUAUAUAUAUAUAUAUAUAUAUAUAUAUAUAAUGCAAUAAUCUACGGAUCUACGGUUCUACAUUGUAUAGAGAACACCAGAAAGCAUGAAACGCUAUAGACUGCAGAGGAGGAAGAAAUGCAUUUAAAGCAACGAUAAAAAUGGCGUGCAGGAUAAUUACCUCAAAUUGCUAUUCGCUUGACACCCUGACACUAAUUUUGUUCAAGCCAUUGGGACAUACAAUAAGGCAAAUACACCUUCCUCGCCUGCUUGUGCAGCAUUCCCUCAGCAGUCGGAUUUUUGCCACUGCAGCUCAGCAGAGGGUGUCAGAUCUUUCAGAGUGCACCAGGUUGAAACGAGCAGAGCCUCUUAGCAACUCUCCCCCUGCGUGCCUGUGAGUGUGUGCGAGCUUAGCGUGCGGCUCGGCAGCAGCGGAAGAAAACGGAAAGAAGAGCGAGUGAGGGCGCGGGCGACGAGGGGAGGCAGCGCGGCCGGCAGGGCGAGGCGAGGCGCGGCGCGGUCGCUCGGUCGGUCUGUCAGUCCGUCGUUCUGUCGGGGAGCCCCGAUCCCUCCGCAGGCUCCCGCCGCAGGCAGCAUGGGCAGCGGCGCAGCGCAGCGGGGGCAGGGGGCGCCGCGCAGCGCCAGGGGCUCGGCGGCCAUCGCCUAGGCAGCGCCUUCAGCACCGGCAGCCCGGACAGCUCCCGGCGGGCGGCCCCGCGGCCCCGCGCCACAAGGUCAGCCCGGCGCCGAGCCCGAGCCGGAGCGGGAGCCGCGCACACGCGCAGCCUCCGCGCACACCGCGGCGCGCUCCACCCGCUCCUCUCCGGCAUGCGGCGGCUGGCGGCGGCCGGCACCGUUUCCCUGACG